GUGAAAGUACUUUCGAAAAUUACUUCAUAUAUUCUUAUGAAGUUUGACUGCUAGUGCAAUUACUUUCCUAUAUACUAGAGGUUAACAUAGAAAUUCAUAAAACUCCACUAAAACAUCUAAAAAUUCUAACGGCUGUAACUUUCACUUCUCUAAACUUUAUUAUUGCAAUCAAGACUAUCCUUUUAGUAGAAAAUUUACAAUUUAAUUACUACUUGCGAUGGAAUGUGAUUUAAUUUGAACUUGCUGAAUUCCACAAGAUCAAAUCACUGCAUGAAAUCACUACGCAAGUAACAGGAUAAAAAUUAAUUGAUUUUAAUAACAGUUAGCCUUAACGGGUACAAUAAAGAGUGCACAAGUUCAAAAAUGUCAUAAUUUCAAAUUUUCGACAAUACGAGUAACAACAACAACGUACAGCAAUAAAAACUAAGUUGAUUAGUCGAAUUUGGUUUGUGGAACUUUUGAUGAUGCGAUUUUAAUGUCCAUUUAUUAAUUUGUUUUGCCCGCUGAACGCAAAGCUUGCCUUUUACAGCUAGAGCGUAAUUGUUAUUUUUGUUGCUUUUACCAUUUAUACCUAUGUACAUAUUGGCGUAUUUAGUAGUAUUCGAAUAUUUAUUGCCGUUAUUAUUUUUGGUUCUUUCAACUUGGUUUUAUGAAUGUACAUACAUAUUCGUGUGGGUGUGUAUAUAUGUAUGUAUGUAAUAUCAUUAUUAGAGUUCGAGAUUUGUGUUGCUUUGCUCUUAGAUACUUUGGAUAACAUUGGUUUUCUGAAUUUCUUUAUAGUUAGUUGAAUUAUUUUAAUCACUAAUUGGAUUUACUUUUGCAAUUUCGUUAUUUUUGUCUUAUUACUUUGUCUUUCUUAUUUUGUAUAACUUCUUUGUUUUUAUAAAAUAUUCGCCUAACUACAUUUAAAUUGUUUAGCAUUUAUACAUACUCAUUCUCUUUUUAGUAAAUGAUUAUAAUUUUUCAAUAGAAUUAUAUAUAUACUUUAUUUAAGUAUUGUUAAUGUUUACAACGAUCUUGUAUACUGGAUUAUAGGUGCAGUGAUCCCCGCUUAAGUGCCCCCCCGUUUAAGUGCUUUUCCCGCUUAAGUGCUUUUCCCGCUUAAGUGCCUUUCCCGCUUAAGUGACAAUAUUUUGCGGCAUCGUUGUUUUUUCUCAAAUUUACAUAUAAUAUUCCUCGCUUAAGAGCCUCCGCUUAAAUGCCUGUAAUGUUUGAAUGCGCUGGGUAUUGUCAAAAGGAAAACAUAAACAUAGUUUUGCAAUGUUUUUUUUUCAUAUUUAUUGUUAUUAAUUAGUAUGUUUGUUAUUAAUAAGAAAUAAAUGUGACUUUCAUUCUAAAAGAAAACAAUUUAGAUCGAAGUAUUUGAGAAAAAGCUUGGUAAGUACCUUGAGGCACUUAAGCGAUAUUCAUUUAAGUGCCUUUCAAGCUUAAGUGUCUGAAAAGUCUUUCAUGUUAAGAGCGGGCUCUUAAACGGGCAUUACUGUCUUUAUAUAAAUUAGCAGCUUCUUUUAAAAUAAAUCAUAUAUACAUACAUAAAAGACACUUUUAAUAGGUAAAUAAAAGCAUUUGAGCUGAAUUAAAUUUGUAUACAAUUAAUUUUAAUUAGUUGUUUAAAUAUUUUAAUUGUGUUUACCCGUAAUUUUAAUGGAACAAAAGUUCAAAAGGUUACAUUCUAAAAACGCUACAAUGUGCAAAGCGUCAAUCGGAGUGGCGUGAAAAUUUUUCGCCUGCGUAAUUCAACACCUCUUAAAUGCUUUAACCUUAGAAUUUUCAAUUAAAUAGCAAAAUAAUUCCAUUGUCACAUCAGCACCCGGCUUCGAAUGAAUACCACAAAUAAUAUCUUUUGUUUAUUUUACAGAAAGUCCUCAAAACGCUUACUCAAAUGCUAAUCGGUGAAGACGGUGAUUAGCGCAAACAAAAAAUUCCAUAUUGUAAUCGAUAGGCAAGAAGCGCUCUCUCUCCCUCACUCAAUCUCCCAAGAUUUAGUUAGACAUACAUAUGCUCUAUUUUUCUUGGGCGCGUUUGUGAAGGCAAUGGCUCCAGCAUUUGGGGGACUCACAGUACGAGAAAAACCACAUUACCUUUCAAAAUUCGCAUCAAGCGCAGGCAUUCUAAAGGAUGACUACUCCUCAUUGCCUAGGUGACGGCGCUCCAUCUGGUAUCUCAAAGGACUUAUUGGCCUACCAGACUAACCUAACCUAAAUACUUUAUUUAAGGGGUUACGCUGAAAUUUUCAAAAUAUUGCAAUUUUUUUUUGCAGAAUUUCAAAGUCCAUUCUAACAAGUAUUUUGAGAUUAAACACGAAAACAAUGCAUAAAAAAUUACGAAAGUUAUGAUCAUUAGAAGUUAGGGUGGUGGGAGCGCGACGAGGGUGCAUUUGUUUCUUCCUUUGCGUUUUUCUCAAAACCAAAUUUUUUGAAACGGUGUACAAGAUAACUCAAACCUAUUCAACCGAUUGUCUUGACAAUUAAAAUACAUAUUCCUAAAUAGAUUUUCCACAGAGUGCCGUGGGAUUUUUUCAAUUAAAUGAUUUGAAAAAUUUUUUGUACGGUAUUUUUAGCCUAAAACAUAAAUUUUUGAAGUUCUUCCAAUUGCGUAAAAAUUUGUUGUUUUUAUAAAACGGUCACGUCACUCUGACAAAUUUUAUCACUUUUUAAGGAAAAUAUUUUUUACUUGUUUCAGACCAAAAUUGAAAUGUCAAUCAUGUACACCAUCAAGGAGUGCUCCGGAAAAAUUGAUCCACGCCAAUGCUUAUAUCUCUGUCAUUUUUCACUAAAAAUAUUUUUUUAAAUAUUCAUAAAGCUUAAGAUAUGUAUUAAAUUAGCAAUAAAUGUAAAGAAGUCGUACCUCAUAUUGUUUUGUCAAAAAAAUUCCUAAACAAACACCAAAAUUCCAUGCGUUCAGGGUGGCUUAACCCCUUAAGGGAUCUUUAUUUUCUUUAUGCAUAUAUAAAAUUCUUCUGUACGUGUGUAAGUCACUGAACUCCUCCUAAAUGGCUUGACCGAUUCGAAUGAAAUCUUUGCGUGUCUUCAACUGGAUUAGAGAAUGGUUUGUAGUCACCAUUCGGUCCAAUUGAAAUAGUGCAUUUAAUUAAUUUUAAAUUGUUUUAUGUUGUAUAUUUGCCAAAAAUAUUGUUGUUAGUGUAUAGAAACCGCCUAAAAGUAUAUAAAAUUGUUUUGUGAAAUGUUUUAUAUUUGGAUGUCGCUACUGUCGGUGUACCAAAUCUGCAAUCCAAAUCUAUAUUAAUUUCAGUUUGUCGCAAUAAAAUAAAAUACUUUGUUUAAUAUCUUAAUAGGUUGAAAUAUCAUGAAGGACAACGUCUGUCGGGUUCAUUACUUACAGAAUAAAAAAUAUUUUCAAAGAAAUUUAUGGCAAGGAUCUCUAUUCAAGGAUCCCUUCAAUCUUUGAAGUAUCGAUUUAAGUGAUAAAUAUGUAGUUUGUGACAAAAAAGUACUGUGGCCAUGAUUUCUAGUUCUAUUCCCAGAUUACAAUCCCGAAACAUGAUACUAAAAAACAAACAAUGAAGAAUGCAACUUUCUUAAUUCCAAAAGAGUUCGAACAUAUCUAGAAAACUCUCGUCUAUACGAAAUGCCUUUUUGAGCUCUCUUCGUACAAGGUUGCCGAGUGACUGAAAAUAGGAUAAUCAGUUUUGUGAUAAUUUAUAUAAUAUUUUGAAUGAAAACAAACCAGAGAAAGAACACUCAAAUAUCACCUUUCCCUGUUAUAUACAAUCUUACAAGGUUUAUACACUUUUAACCAGAUAUACAUAUGUACAUAUAUGUAUAUUUCACUUGACUAUUUGUUAUUAAAUAGUGUUUUUAUAUUUAUAUAAUAUGCAUAAAACUUAUGUAAUAAAUUUAAGCCAGUUAUUUUUACAGUUAACUUUUAUUAUAGUAUAUAGUUAAGGAGUUGUGAAAGAGUUCAAAAAUACAAAAUUUUAAGUUUUCGGAUUUAGACAGCAAUUAUUAUGUAUGGCUUAGGACUUACAACAUUUGUGGUUUGUGGUUAUUGUUAUUGUGGGUGUCGAUCGAUCUGAAUUACAAUUUCAACUUACGGCGUGUGGCAUAAGGGUGUGUGAGCGUUGGAAUGUGUGUAUAUAGAGAUUAAAAGGCUUUACGAGAAACGCCAUCGAGAUGUAAAGAUUUAUUUUUACCGUUAAAUGUUUGUAUAAAUAUUACCGUUAUAAUAGCUUUUUAUGCAUUUACUAGCACAUGUGUAUAUAUAUGUACAUAUAUUUAUAUAUUUAUAGCUGCUGUCAAUUGAGUUUAAAUUUAAUUGAUAAAUACACCAACCGCUUACAUUACGAAUAGUGUAUAGUAGAUGUGUUUUAAAUACUGUACGCUUAUAAUAUUUAGUAUGUAUACAGUAUAUGUUUGUUGUGUUUAAAAAUUAUGGUUUAACUU
Zeugodacus cucurbitae (melon fly) is the source of this 4403-nucleotide long non-coding RNA. RefSeq lists it as uncharacterized. The transcript has 2 exons. The record is from RefSeq and is a predicted model, not a curated record. Lineage: Eukaryota; Metazoa; Arthropoda; Insecta; Diptera; Tephritidae.